Molecule: long non-coding RNA, 711 nt
Filed under: Homo sapiens (human)
Lineage: Eukaryota; Metazoa; Chordata; Mammalia; Primates; Hominidae
Description: HSALNT0299150
Source: RNAcentral
CAGAGGAACCAACUCAGUAAAACCCGAGCUAUGUGAGAUGAAUGCUUGCUGGAUCCCGGGAUUUAGGCUAAAGUGGGCCAGCCUAGCCUGCCUGCUGAAGACAUAAGAAAGGGUUUUUGAAGGCGUCUCUCAUAAGAUGGCAUUUGAGCAGAGACCUGAGGAAGUGAAAGAUGGAGGGCUGAAGCUUCCAGUUAGAGGAACAAGCAAAGACCCCGAGCAGGAUCAGGAAAGUGUGGUAGAGACAUAAUCAAAGAUUCAGACAAAGAUAUAACUACAGAAUGCACAUGACGGUUUUGUUAAUACACCAAAAGGAAAAAAAUUAAAUAACGGACUCUCCCAAUAAAUUGUGACCAUCUAUAGUUUGGAAUAACAUGAAGAUUGUUAAAAACUAUGUUUACAAGAAUGGCAAUAACAGAGAAACACUUGCUAUAUAAUUUUCACAAUAACAAGGUGAAGAAAUAUUAUAUAUAUAUAUAAUAAAAUUCAAAUUUUUAAGAGAAAUUAAAAUGUAUAGAAAACAUUGGAAAAGGAUACACUUAAUAAUCUUUUUUUCAGCAUGGUAGAAUUGUGGGUGAUUUUUGUUCCCUUUAUAUUUUUUAAUACUUUGUACUUUUUAAUGACAAAUGUAUAUACUACCAUUUAAUGAUAAAAAUAUAUUUUUAAAAUACUGGAUAAGAAUUAUUCAAAUAAAUGCCUUAUUUAAAAGUUAAA